UAGGGAAUAUUGCAAAAUGGGCGAAAGCCCGAUGCAGCAACGCCGCGUGGGCGAUGAAGGCCUUCGGGUCGUAAAGCCCUUUUUGAGGGGAUGAGGAAGGACAGUACCCUCAGAAUAAGCCUCGGCUAACUACGUGCCAGCAGCCGCGGUAAAACGUAGGAGGCGAGCGUUAUCCGGAUUUACUGGGCGUAAAGCGCGUGCAGGCGGAUUGGAGAGUUGGAUGUGAAAGCUCCCGGCUUAACUGGGAGAGGUCGUUCAAUACUUCCAGUCUUGAGUGCAGUAGAGGGAAGUGGAAUUCCGGGUGUAGUGGUGAAAUGCGUAGAUAGCCGGAGGAACACCAGUGGCGAAAGCGGCUUCCUGGACUGUAACUGACGCUCAGACGCGAAAGCUAGGGUAGCAAACG
This 403-nucleotide ribosomal RNA is filed under the name uncultured bacterium. Its description in RNAcentral is "bacterial SSU rRNA". It matches the Rfam family "Bacterial small subunit ribosomal RNA", at positions 355 to 774 of the family's 1533-position model. The record is from RNAcentral.